This 70-nucleotide transfer RNA is filed under the name Urocitellus parryii (Arctic ground squirrel). Its description in RNAcentral is "Spermophilus parryii (Arctic ground squirrel) tRNA". It matches the Rfam family "tRNA". From Rfam's summary of the family: Transfer RNA (tRNA) molecules are approximately 80 nucleotides in length. The record is from Rfam by way of RNAcentral. RNAcentral also lists the same sequence under 1 other name. Lineage: Eukaryota; Metazoa; Chordata; Mammalia; Rodentia; Sciuridae.
GUGGAGAUAGCUCAGUGGUAAAGCACUUGCCUAGCAGGCAUGAAGCCCUGGGUCCAAUCCCAUCACCACA